This 277-nucleotide ribosomal RNA is filed under the name uncultured prokaryote. Its description in RNAcentral is "partial 16S ribosomal RNA". It matches the Rfam family "Bacterial small subunit ribosomal RNA", at positions 524 to 800 of the family's 1533-position model. The record is from RNAcentral.
UACGGAGGAUCCGAGCGUUAUCCGGAUUUAUUGGGUUUAAAGGGUGCGCAGGCGGAAUAUUAAGUCGGCGGUGAAAGUUUGCAGCUUAACUGUAAAAGUGCCUUCGAAACUGGUUUCCUUGAGUGUAGAUGAAGUAGGCGGAAUUUGUGGUGUAGCGGUGAAAUGCAUAGAUAUCACGAGGAACUCCGAUUGCGCAGGCAGCUUACUAAACCAUAACUGACGCUCAGGCACGAAGGCGUGGGGAUCAAACAGGAUUAGAUACCCCCGUAGUCCCUGA